CCUACGGUCUGCAGCAGUGGGGAAUAUUGGACAAUGGGCGAAAGCCUGAUCCAGCCAUGCCGCGUGUGUGAAGAAGGCCUUCGGGUUGUAAAGCACUUUCAGUGGGGAAGAAAGCCUUGGGGCUAAUACCCUCGAGGAAGGACAUCACCCACAGAAGAAGCACCGGCUAACUCCGUGCCAGCAGCCGCGGUAAUACGGAGGGUGCGAGCGUUAAUCGGAAUUACUGGGCGUAAAGCGCGCGUAGGCGGUCUGAUAAGCCGGUUGUGAAAGCCCCGGGCUCAACCUGGGAACGGCAUCCGGAACUGUCAGGCUAGAGUGCAGGAGAGGAAGGUAGAAUUCCCGGUGUAGCGGUGAAAUGCGUAGAGAUCGGGAGGAAUACCAGUGGCGAAGGCGGCCUUCUGGACUGACACUGACGCUGAGGUGCGAAAGCGUGGGUAGCAAACAGGAUUAGAUACCCCGGUAGUC
Molecule: ribosomal RNA, 465 nt
Filed under: Vreelandella stevensii
Lineage: Bacteria; Pseudomonadati; Pseudomonadota; Gammaproteobacteria; Oceanospirillales; Halomonadaceae
Description: partial 16S ribosomal RNA
Rfam family: Bacterial small subunit ribosomal RNA
Source: RNAcentral